AUGGAGAAGGUUGCCAUGCCGUGGAGAUUUCGUCUCCUGGCUUCGUCCCCAUGGUGGCUGGGCGUGCUUCAUCCCUCAUCAUGGAGCCUAGGAGUCAUGUUCAGGAGUUGGAGCGGCGCCAGAUCUCCCCAUGUCUCGUCCUUAGUGGUUCUUCAUCAUGUUGCAUCUCCGGUGUGCUGGUCCGACUGGACCGAGGUUGACGACUUCCUGGCUGCAAAGAACCUGUCUACACUCCACAAGAUCAUGCCGGCAAAAUGUAGAGCGGCGCCUGAUCUCCCCAUGCCUCGUCCUCGGUGCUUCUUUGUCAUGUUGCACCUUCGGUGUGAUGGUUCUACUGGACAGGGGUUAACGACUUCCCGGUCGCGAAGAAUCCGUCCGCACUCUACAAGUUUGUCAACUGAAUUGCUUGAGGACAAGCAAAGGUUUAAGCUUUGGGGAGUUGAUACGUCUCCAACACUCGCGCUGUUUUCAGCAGAAUUGCCAUGGUGUUAUUUUUGUGCAGAAAUAAAAGUUCUCGGAAUGACCUAA
Molecule: ribosomal RNA, 528 nt
Filed under: Triticum aestivum (bread wheat)
Lineage: Eukaryota; Viridiplantae; Streptophyta; Magnoliopsida; Poales; Poaceae
Description: partial small subunit ribosomal RNA
Source: RNAcentral